GACGAACGCUGGCGGCGUGCUUAACACAUGCAAGUCGAGCGAGGCCCCUCCUUCGGGAGGGUGUCCUAGCGGCGAACGGGUGAGUAACACGUGGGCAACCUGCCCUCAGCUCUGGGAUAACUCCGGGAAACCGGGGCUAAUACCGGAUACGACCUCCACGGGCAUCUGCGGAGGUGGAAAGUUUUUCGGCUGAGGAUGGGCCCGCGGCCUAUCAGCUAGUUGGUGGGGUAGUGGCACACCAAGGCGACGACGGGUAGCCGGCCUGAGAGGGCGACCGGCCACACGGGGACUGAGACACGGCCCAGACUCCUACGGGAGGCAGCAGUGGGGAAUAGUGCGCAAUGGGCGAAAGCCUGACGCAGCGACGCCGCGUGAGGGACGAAGGCCUUCGGGUUGUAAACCUCUUUCAGCAGGGACGAAGCGAAAGUGACGGUACCUGCAGAAGAAGCACCGGCCAACUACGUG
RNAcentral lists this ribosomal RNA (465 nucleotides) under uncultured bacterium. RNAcentral describes it as "partial 16S ribosomal RNA". It matches the Rfam family "Bacterial small subunit ribosomal RNA", at positions 28 to 507 of the family's 1533-position model. The record is from RNAcentral.